GUGGGGAAUAUUGGGCAAUGGGGGAAACCCUGACCCAGCGACGCCGCGUGAGGGAAGACGGCCUUCGGGUUGUAAACCUCUUUUGUACGGGAAGAAGGAAGUGACGGUACUGUACGAAUAAGUCCCGGCUAACUACGUGCCAGCAGCCGCGGUAAUACGUAGGGGACGAGCGUUGUCCGGAAUUACUGGGCGUAAAGGGCGCGCAGGCUGUGCUGCAAGUCAGCUGUGAAAUGUCUGGGCUUAACCCGGGCAUGCGGUUGAGACUGCAGUGCGGGAGUGCUGUAGAGGCAAGUGGAAUUCCCAGUGUAGCGGUGAAAUGCGUAGAUAUUGGGAAGAACACCGGUGGCGAAGGCGACUUGCUGGGCAGCAACUGACGCUGAGGCGCGAAAGCCAGGGGAGCAAACGGGAUUAGAAACCCUUGUAGUCC
Molecule: ribosomal RNA, 427 nt
Filed under: uncultured bacterium
Lineage: Bacteria
Description: partial 16S ribosomal RNA
Rfam family: Bacterial small subunit ribosomal RNA
Source: RNAcentral